This 253-nucleotide ribosomal RNA is filed under the name uncultured bacterium. Its description in RNAcentral is "partial 16S ribosomal RNA". It matches the Rfam family "Bacterial small subunit ribosomal RNA", at positions 524 to 776 of the family's 1533-position model. The record is from RNAcentral.
UACGGGGGGGGCAAGCGUUGUUCGGAAUUACUGGGCGUAAAGGGCUCGUAGGCGGCCAACUAAGUCAGACGUGAAAUCCCUCGGCUUAACCGGGGAACUGCGUCUGAUACUGGAUGGCUAGAGAUUGGGAGAGGGAUGCGGAAUUCCAGGUGUAGCGGUGAAAUGCGUAGAUAUCUGGAGGAACACCGGUGGCGAAGGCGGCAUCCUGGACCGGCAUUGACGCUGAGGCGCGAAAGCUAGGGGAGCAAACGGG